UUCCCCUAGUAACUGCGAGUGAAGCGGGAAAAGCUCAAAUUUAAAAUCUGGCGGUCUCUGGCCGUCCGAGUUGUAAUCUAGAGAAGUGAUGCCCGCGCUGGACCGUGUACAAGUCUCCUGGAAUGGAGCGUCAUAGAGGGUGAGAAUCCCGUCUCUGACACGGACUACCAGGGCUUUGUGGUAUCCUCUCAAAGAGUCGAGUUGUUUGGGAAUGCAGCUCUAAAUGGGUGGUAAAUUCCAUCUAAAGCUAAAUAUUGGCGAGAGACCGAUAGCGAACAAGUACCGUGAGGGAAAGAUGAAAAGAACUUUGGAAAGAGAGUUAAACAGUACGUGAAAUUGCUGAAAGGGAAACGCUUGAAGUCAGUCGCGUUGGCCAGGAAUCAGCCUCGCUCUUGCGUGGUGUACUUUCUGGUUGACGGGUCAGCAUCAAUUUUGACUGCUGGAAAAAGGCUUGGGGAAUGUGGCAGCUUCGGCUGUGUUAUAGCCCUUUGUCACAUACAGCGGUUGGGAUUGAGGAACUCAGCACGCCGCAAGGCCGGGUUUCGACCACGUUCGUGCUUAGGAUGCUGGCAUAAUGGCUUUAAGCGACCCGUCUUGAAACACGGACCAAGGAGUCUAACAUGCCUGCGAGUGUUUGGGUGGUAAACCCGAGCGCGUAAUGAAAGUGAAAGUUGAGAUCCCUGUCGUGGGGAGCAUCGACGCCCGGACUGGAGCUUUUGUGACGGAUCCGCGGUAGAGCAUGUAUGUUGGGACCCGAAAGAUGGUGAACUAUGCCUGAAUAGGGUGAAGCCAGAGGAAACUCUGGUGGAGGCUCGUAGCGAUUCUGACGUGCAAAUCGAUCGUCAAAUUUGGGUAUAGGGGCGAAAGACU
This 870-nucleotide ribosomal RNA is filed under the name Lycoperdon sp. TM02_283. Its description in RNAcentral is "eukaryotic LSU rRNA". It matches the Rfam family "Eukaryotic large subunit ribosomal RNA", at positions 75 to 932 of the family's 3401-position model. The record is from RNAcentral. Lineage: Eukaryota; Fungi; Basidiomycota; Agaricomycetes; Agaricales; Lycoperdaceae.